AGAAUAUUGCAAACGAAGACCGGCCGUAAGGAGGAGACAGUGGCACAGGACACAGCAAGUGUGCCGUGAGCUACACCCUCGCUCCGCCCGAGCUUCUUCUCCGUCUCGCCAUGUCGAAGCAGGACGCCUCCGACGGCAUCCCUGCCGCCGAGGCGCCGGCUAAGCGCCGUCCCCUCAACAAGUACGCCCUCGCCUGCGCCAUCCUCGCGUCCAUGAACUCUAUCCUCCUCGGCUACGAUGUCUCGGUGAUGAGCGGAGCGCAGCUGUUCAUGAAGCAGGACCUCAAGAUCACGGACACGCAGAUCGAGAUCCUCGCCGGCAUCAUCAACAUCUACUCGCUCGUCGGCUCGCUGGCGGCGGGCCGGACGUCGGACUGGAUCGGCCGGCGCUACACCAUGGUGCUCGCGGCGGCCAUCUUCUUCGCGGGCGCGCUCAUCAUGGGCCUCGCCCCGAGCUACGCGAUCCUCAUGCUCGGCCGCUUCGUCGCCGGCGUCGGUGUCGGGUACGCGCUCAUGAUCGCGCCCGUGUACACCGCCGAGGUGGCGCCGACGUCGGCGCGCGGCCUGCUCACGUCCUUCCCGGAGGUGUUCAUCAACACGGGGGUCCUCCUCGGGUACGUCUCCAACUACGCCUUCCACAGCCUCCCCGUGCACCUCAGCUGGCGCGUCAUGUUCCUCGUCGGCGCCGUCCCGCCCCUCUUCCUCGCCCUGGGGGUCCUCGCCAUGCCGGAGUCGCCGCGGUGGCUCGUCAUGCAGGGGCGCAUCGGCGACGCGCGCCGCGUGCUCGCCAAGACCUCCAACUCGCCCGCCGAGGCCGAGGAGCGGCUCGCCGACAUCAAGAGAGCCAUCGGCAUCCCGGAGGGUGUCGGCGGCGACGAUGACGACGUGGUGGUCGUAGCCCGCAACAACAAGGGCACCCACGGCGAGGGGGUGUGGAGGGACCUGCUCCUCCGCCCCACGCCGCCCGUCCGCCGCAUCCUGAUCGCCUGCCUCGGGCUCCAGUUCUUCCAGCAGGCCUCCGGCAUCGACUCCGUCGUGCUCUACAGCCCCCGUGUGUUUCAGAAGGCCGGGCUCCAGUCGGACAGCAACUCCCUGGGCGCCACCAUGGCGGUGGGCGCGUGCAAGACGCUGUUCAUCCUGGUGGCCACGUUCUUCCUCGACCGCGUCGGGCGGCGGCCGCUGCUCCUGACCAGCGCCGGUGGGAUGGUAGUAUCGCUCGUGACGCUGGCCUCGGCGCUGCACGCGAUCGACCGGCUCCCCACGGGCCAGCCGACACCGCUGGCCGGGGUGAGCAUCGCGGCGGUGCUGACGUUCGUGGCGUCGUUCUCGAUCGGGAUGGGCCCGAUCGCGUGGGUGUACAGCUCGGAGAUCUUCCCGCUGCGGCUGCGCGCGCAGGGGUGCGCGCUCGGCACGGCGAUGAAUCGGAUCAUGAGCGGCGCCAUCACCAUGUCCUUCAUCUCGCUCUACAAGGCUAUCACCUUCGCGGGCAGCUUCUAUGUCUACGCCGGCAUCGCCGCCGCUGGCUGGGUGUUCAUGUUCUUCUUCCUGCCGGAGACGAGGGGCAGGAGCCUGGAGGACACCGAGAAGCUCUUCGGCGGCGGUGACGGCCAGGACGGCAGGGAAGAUGAACGUGACGCGCAGAAGAAGUCCACGGAGUUUGACUAGCAGUCAACAGCCAGUAGCUACUUGAUGGGUGGCAUUCAAGUGACCUGAACUGCUAGUGUGAGGUCCUGAAGAUCCAAACACCCCCCGUGCGCGACGGAACACAAGCUAAGUCUGUCAGCAGGCGGGCUGGCAAAUCGGGCACUUGCACAACACAUGCUUGUUGUAGAAAUUAGAGUCAGGGUCCAUUCCACCCUUCGGAUCCUACAUGUUCUUCCUGAUCUUGAGCAAGAACUCGAAAAGGGAUUCAGGCAAAUUUGCGCCCCGAGUAACGACUACAUUACCAAAUAUGUAACAUUCCGCAAACAAAAUUGGAUGCUUUCAAUGCAAGUAUAAGCAUCAAGUGUGUUAAGGGGCGGAGCUCACUGAUGAUUAGAGGGGCAUGGCCCCCCUGCACAAUACAAUUUGCCAAUAAGUAAACAGUAAAAGUGGUACUGUACCAUGAUAUUUAAUUUGCCACUAAGUGAAUGAACAGGAAAAGUGGUAUUGUACCUUGA
RNA transcript from Setaria italica (foxtail millet), 2158 nucleotides. It is a transcript of the gene named polyol transporter 5, with no coding region annotated. The record is from RefSeq and is a predicted model, not a curated record. The transcript is spliced from 3 exons. NCBI's taxonomy places the organism in Eukaryota, Viridiplantae, Streptophyta, Magnoliopsida, Poales, Poaceae.